This 438-nucleotide ribosomal RNA is filed under the name uncultured bacterium. RNAcentral describes it as "bacterial SSU rRNA". It matches the Rfam family "Bacterial small subunit ribosomal RNA", at positions 954 to 1392 of the family's 1533-position model. The record is from RNAcentral.
GCUAAACGCGAAGAACCUUACCAGGCCUUGACAUGCACUAGACCGACUCUGAAAGGAGUCUUCCCUUCGGGGCUGGUGCACAGGUGCUGCAUGGCUGUCGUCAGCUCGUGUCGUGAGAUGUUGCGUUAAGUCGCGCAACGAGCGCAACCCCUGUCCUUAGUUGCCAUCAGGUAAAGCUGGGCACUCUAGGGAGACAAACCCUCUCUGAGGGUGGGAAGGUGGGGAUGACGUCAAGUCAGGAUGGCCCUUACGGCCUGGGCUGCACACGUGCUACAAUGCUCGGUACAGAGGGACGCAAGACCGCGAGGUGGAGCAAAUCCCAAAAACCGAGCCCAGUUCAGAUUGCAGUCUGCAACUCGACUGCAUGAAGCCGGAAUCGCUAGUAAUGGCGUAUCAGCUACGACGCCGUGAAUACGUUCCCGGGUCUUGUACACACCG